GUUAGGAAUAUUGGACAAUGGGCGAAAGCCUGAUCCAGCCAUGCCGCGUGAACGAUGAAGGCCUUCGGGUUGUAAAGUUCUUUAGCCGAUGAUUAUAAUGACUGUAGUCGGAAAAUAAGCCCCGGCUAACUUCGUGCCAGCAGCCGCGGUAAUACGAAGGGGGCGAGCGUUAUUCGGAAUCACUGGGCGUAAAGCGUGCGUAGGCGGUUUUGUAAGUUAGGAGUGAAAGCCCAGGGCUCAACCUUGGAAUUGCUCUUAACACUGCAAGGCUCGAAUCUCGGAGAGGAUAGCGGAAUUUCCAGUGUAGCAGUGAAAUGCGUAGAUAUUGGAAGGAACACCAGUGGCGUAAGCGGCUAUCUGGACGAGUAUUGACGCUGAGGCACGAAAGCGUGGGGAUCAAACAGGAUUAGAAACCCCUGUAGUCC
This 425-nucleotide ribosomal RNA is filed under the name uncultured bacterium. RNAcentral describes it as "partial 16S ribosomal RNA". It matches the Rfam family "Bacterial small subunit ribosomal RNA", at positions 354 to 796 of the family's 1533-position model. The record is from RNAcentral.